RNAcentral lists this non-coding RNA (29 nucleotides) under Mus musculus (house mouse). The record is from RNAcentral. Lineage: Eukaryota; Metazoa; Chordata; Mammalia; Rodentia; Muridae.
UGGGAAGUUCUAUAAACUGGGAUGUGUCC